Molecule: non-coding RNA, 205 nt
Filed under: Mycobacterium shinjukuense
Lineage: Bacteria; Bacillati; Actinomycetota; Actinomycetes; Mycobacteriales; Mycobacteriaceae
Source: RNAcentral
UCGUCGGCAUCGAAUGGCGGUUCGACAGAUUCGUCAUGAGAGGGAACCCGGUGUGAAUCCGGGACUGUCCCGCAGCGGUAUGCAGGAACGACCGCCGUCAUCGGCACUGGUCCACGGCCCUGGGACCGGGAAGCGACGGCCAGUAGGAGCGCCGUUUCGGUGUGUGCCUGUGAGUCCGAAGACCUGCCAGCUGCGCCGGGCGCGG